UUCACUGCUGCCAUGAUAGUGGCAUUGCUGCAGGGCGUUUGUGCUGUGCUUGCAGUGGCAGGGCCUGAUGUUCACAGCUGGGCUUCCUCCAGUUGCUUUAAUGGGGAGCAAGUGAAUGCCUGCCUGCAAGCUACAGCAGCCGUGAUGCCAAAUCUGCCAAUGAAGCCUGCAUUUCAGAGUAGAACCUAGAAGGCCCAGAUGAGAUCAGAGCCCCACUAUGCAAGGCUGCCUACAAACACAUGACGGAGUUCGGAGGAGUCUGAGUUGCCUUGGAUAAAAUUUGUGUUUUAGAUUGAUUGAGUACCCUCCGCUCACUUCCUCAUCUGUCAUGACAUUUGGAACUGCAGGUCAAGAAAUCUUGGUCCCUCUGGUUUCCGGCUCUCCCAGCUGCUGGUUCCACCACCCAGUUCAACAACUGGAGUUCUGACACUCCCCAGCUCUCACUGCCCUAUAGCUGCCUUGCUCCACUCAGUUCCUGCUUCGUCUCAGAAGCUUCUGCUAUGGUGGCCCAGGUUAGGAGACCCCUCCCAGUCCUCCUUCCCCUUUCCUCCCCAUACAAACAUGGUGCCCCCCACCCCCCCGGUAGUUAGUUCUGAACUCCCACCCCUUGCCUUGGGGUGAAGAAACCUCCUCUUGCCAUUGGGGAGGCAGGCAUUCAUCCAGAAAUCACUUGAACACCACCCUGUCACUAAUAAACAGGCACUUUUAUCAGCAAACAAACAGUCCCAGUGCUUCUGCAACAUCAGUCCCUUAGUCAAAGCUCCAGGUGCCUCCUUCCCUUUGGCCUCUCACUGAUUCCUGCAUGCCCUACAGUACAGGCUCCUAGUGGCCAUGCAGUCAGGUUGCUCCCUCGGCCUUCCCCGAGCUCAGCCUUUCAGCCUGCUGUGUCCCUGCAGUCCUUACUUGAAUGGCACUGCCAUCCUCCAAUAGGAGGAGAGAGAGCAGCAGGAAGCAGGGUAGAAUUUCUUCCCAGAUCCCUAGCCAAAUAGGCCCCUGGGGCCAUUUGGACUAGCCCUUUCGUGCUGCUGAUUGUGGAGUGGUGACUCCAUAUGAAGAAGCCUGUUGGCUGUAGCAGUAGCCCCAGGACCCCUCACCUUCUUGGUAGCUCUCUGGUCUGGCCAUGCUGUGAAGGACCUGGAUCUCGCUCCUGGAUGAGGCAGAAGGUGGCUGAGCUGAUCCCUCAUCUGCUGUGGAUCACAUUCUUUGGAACUAUCAGCCUUUGUUUCCUGGUUAAAUGGGGUCUGACCCCAAUGUCACGUGUCUGCAGCCUGGUAGCAGAACCAAAUUGGGCGCACCUUUCAUCUGAGACUCUCAAAGCACUUUGCAAACAUGGAUCAAGCUUUGCAAGUGUCAAGCUUCAGAUUGGCAAUAAGGCAUAAGCUGUUAACACUAGGGGAAUAACUAAACGGAACAUUUAAAAAGAGAAGAGAGUGAAAAGAUUCCACCAUCUCAUGCAGGCUGUGUUGGAAAUUGUAAAUUCUGAGGAGGUGUUAUCUCCUGCCCAACAAAAGAAAGCCCAUAGACACCAGACAAACCACUGUGGAACAUCAGAGGACAAAAUACUUUGUUGAUUGCUCCCCCUUCACCCAUGAAGAGGAAAUACUGGGCCCAUCAUCUUGAACUCUGGGGGAACCGGAUAAAAAUCCCUCACAAGAAGAAACUGCAUCUUUGGCUGUUUGAACUCUGAAGGGCCAGAGACUCUAACUGGAAGCAAAAGGUCUCCAGGGGCUGCCUCCUGGGUCUGCCCUGAAAGACACUUUGAAUAGACAGAUCACUGCAACACUGUCACUCAUAGGAUUUGGAUGGUAACUCAUAUGUUUGUAUAUGUUUGCUUGCUUAAACUUGUAAAUAAUUCUGUUUCCUUUUUCCUAGUUACUAAACCUUUGGAUUGUUUAUUUCAGGAUUGGCUACAGGCAUUGUCCUUGGAGUAGGAUCGAUCUAGGGUUCCAACUGAUCUGGGGGUAGGUGACUGGUCUCUUGGGAUUGGAAGCAACCUAAAUGUAGUAUGAUUUUUGGAAUAAGUGUACGUAAAAGAAUAAAUGGACACAAAUCAGA
Caretta caretta (loggerhead turtle) is the source of this 2055-nucleotide long non-coding RNA. RefSeq lists it as uncharacterized. The record is from RefSeq and is a predicted model, not a curated record. NCBI's taxonomy places the organism in Eukaryota, Metazoa, Chordata, Testudines, Cheloniidae.